UACAGAGGUCCCGAGCGUUGUUCGGAUUCAUUGGGCGUAAAGGGUGCGUAGGCGGCUUUCUAAGUCUGAUGUGAAAUCCCGGGGCUCAACCCCGGAACUGCAUUGGAUACUGGGAAGCUCGAGUACUGGAGAGGGAACUGGAAUUUACGGUGUAGCAGUGAAAUGCGUAGAGAUCGUAAGGAAGGCCAGUGGCGAAGGCGAGUUCCUGGACAGUAACUGACGCUGAGGCACGAAGGCCAGGGGAGCAAACGGG
Molecule: ribosomal RNA, 253 nt
Filed under: uncultured bacterium
Lineage: Bacteria
Description: partial 16S ribosomal RNA
Rfam family: Bacterial small subunit ribosomal RNA
Source: RNAcentral